AAAUCUUUUGAUAAGCCUUUGGAUGUUGUUACACAGCUUUUGGGGUAACUGGAAGACGCUCAUUGCGUAAGUAGGAAUCGCUUGAAUCACUGCCUUAAUUAAAACUUCCUUGCCACCACUAGAGAACAGUUUGGACUAGCAACUGUUUAAUUUCCCUAUAACUCUGUGUUUGAUGAGAUUGAAAAAAGCCGUUUUAUUUUGUCCAACCAUGGAAGGAAGUCCCAAAUACCUUUCAUGGAGAGAGACAACCUGAAGGUUGAAAAGAUAUUUGAUUUCAUUAAUAGUGUGUUGAGGCACAUUCGGGCUGAAAAACAUUGAAGAUUUGUCCAUAUUAAAUCAUUGGCCCGAAG
Molecule: long non-coding RNA, 350 nt
Filed under: Citrus maxima (pomelo)
Lineage: Eukaryota; Viridiplantae; Streptophyta; Magnoliopsida; Sapindales; Rutaceae
Description: long non-coding RNA (CMAX_LNC000124)
Source: RNAcentral